Oncorhynchus kisutch (coho salmon) is the source of this 3953-nucleotide long non-coding RNA. The record is from Ensembl. Lineage: Eukaryota; Metazoa; Chordata; Actinopteri; Salmoniformes; Salmonidae.
AGAUCUCAUUGGUUGCCACAGUCCCUACAUGAGGGAGGCUUGAGUGACAGGAGAAAUCUGAUUGGUCCUGUUUGUUCUGUAUAUAGUGAUGUCAUCUACCACACAGAACUCACCUCUCUGUUUUACACCAUAGUCUCAGGAUCACUGUAUUUACAACGUGAGACCCAGGAGGACAAGCUGAAGAGGGAGGCAUCAGCUGGUGAGCUUGUGAGAGGAGAGACCUCAGAUACAGACCCCACACUUCCACUGAGGAGGACAAACAGCAUGGAGUUACCUCAUCCAUUUAUGGGAGGAGAGAGCAGCAGUCCAGACUCCCCAGUGUCUCCCAAAUAACAGAACUGGAGAGACGGGUGAAAGAAGAGGAGUACUGGGGGAAGAAAUACAAACACCUUUGUCUGACAAAAUGUGGAGUGUUUUCCCAUUAGAAAGACGUCGCCCAGAUGUCCUUUGGUUGGUGGACCAUUCUUGAAACACACAGGAAUCCCAACAGCAUUGCAGUUCUUUACACAAGCCAGUGCUCCAUGCACCUGUUACCAGACCCCGUUCAAACACAUUUAUAUACUGCAUCUUGCCCAUUCACCCUUUGAAUGGCAUUCAUACACAAUCCAUGUCUCAAUAUCCUUAUUUAACCUUCCUCCUCCCCUUCAUCUACACUGAUUGAAGUGGAUUUAACAAGUGACAUGAAUAAGGGAUCAUAUCUUUCACCUGGAUUCACCUGGUCAGUCUAUGUCAUGGAAAGAUCAAGUGUCCUUAAUGUUUUGUACACACAGUGUAUGUCUACAGUGACUUGAUGAGUAAUACAUUAGAUUAUUGUUCUGUUGCUGUUGAGACAACUGUUUUGUGAAGGGGUUAGAGAGGAGACUAGUUAGAGAGACAACUGUUAUGUGUAGGGGUUAGAGAGGAGAGUAGUUAGAGAGACAUCUGUUUUGUGUUAGAGAGGAGACUAGUUAGAGAACUGUUUUGUGUAGGGGUUAGAGAGGAGACUAGUUAGAGAGACAACUGUUUUGUGUUAGAGAGGAGACUAGUUAGAGACAACUGUUUUGUGUAGGGUUUAGAGAGGAGACUAGUUACAGAGACAAUUGUUUUGUGUAGGGGUUAGAGAGGAGACCAGAUAGAGACAACUGUUUUGUGUAGGGGUUAGAGAGGAGACUAGAUAGAGACAACUGUUUUGUGUAGGGGUUAGAGAGGAGACUAGUAACAGAGACAAAAGUUUUGUGUAGGGGUUAGAGAGGAGACUAGUUACAGAGACAACUGUUUUGUGUAGGGGUUAGAGAGGAGACUAGAUAGAGACAACUGUUUUGUGUAGAGGUUAGAGAGGAGACUAGAUAGAGACAACUGUUUUGUGUAGGGGUUAGAGAGGAGACUAGUUACAGACAACUGUUUUGUGUAGGGGUUAGAGAGGAGACUAGAUAGAGAGACAACUGUUUUGUUUAGGGGUUGGGAGAGCAGGCGGAGCCUUCUACCACUACUACUACUACUACUACUACCAGUACUACGACUACCAGUACUACUACUACUACUGGUACUACUACUGGUACUACUACUAACACUACUACUAAUACUGCUACUUCUACUACUACAUCUUCUCCUCUUGGACAGCAGUUUGAGAAGACCAGAGGAAGUGAUGGAGCAUCAGUCUGAAUGCAGAUGUCCAUAUGACUGGGGCAGCAGGGUAGCCUAGUGGUUAGAGUGUUGGACUAGUAACUGGAAUGGUUGCAAUUUGUGGGGAAUUUAUAUUUGAUGAGACCAUUUUCGAUGUUUAGGGAGGCUAGGUUGUAUCCCAUCUCAAUAUUAGACUGUUUUUUAAUAAAGAUUGUAACGAAAAUCCUGAUAAGAAGAGUUAUAAUUCUGAUGUAGGGUUAAAGGUUAGAUUAAGGUUAAGGUUAGAUUUGAUUAAUGAUGGGUGAAGAGUCGGAUAAACAUUUAUAAUAAUGUUGGUUAUGUGUCUAUUCAUAUGAUAAUCUGAUAAACCUUUAUAGUAAGGUUAGUUAUAAGUCUAUUCGUAUGAUAAAUCUGAUAAACCUUUAUAAUAAGGUUAGUUAUAAGUCUAUUCGUAUGAUAAAUCUGAUAAACCUUUAUAGUAAGGUUAGUUAUAAGUCUAUUCGUAUGAUAAUCUGAUAAACCUUUAUAGUAAGGUUAGUUAUAAGUCUAUUCGUAUGAUAAAUCUGAUAAACCUUUAUAAUAAGGUUAGUUAUAAGUCUAUUCGUAUGAUAAAUCUGAUAAACCUUUAUAGUAAGGUUAGUUAUAAGUCUAUUCGUAUGAUAAAUCUGAUAAACCUUUAUAGUAAGGUUAGUUAUAAGUCUAUUCGUAUGAUAAUCUGAUAAACCUUUAUAGUAAGGUUAGUUAUAAGUCUAUUCGUAUGAUAAUCUGAUAAACAUUUAUAAUAAGGUUAAUUAUAAGUCUAUUCGUAUGAUAAUCUGAUAAACCUUUAUAGUAAGGUUAGUUAUAAGUCUAUUCGUAUGAUAAAUCUGAUAAACCUUUAUAGUAAGGUUAGUUAUAAGUCUAUUCGUAUGAUAAUCUGAUAAACCUUUAUAGUAAGGUUAGUUAUAAGUCUAUUCGUAUGAUAAUCUGGUAAACCUUUAUAAUAAGGUUAGUUAUAAGUUAUAAGUCUAUUCGUAUGAUACAUCUGAUAAAAAUAAGUUUGUUCAUAUUUUUGUUUUUUUAUGUUUGAUAAAAUUAGAUGUAGAUUUGAAUGUAUAAUAUUUAAUCAAAGGGAGGAUUGUUGGAGGAAAUUAUAGUUUAAAUGACUAAUUAUGUAUACAUUUAAAUUAGAACCAUUUAUUUUAAUACUAUUAUGUUAUGGUAUGAAAUGUAUGGGUUCUUGGUUAAGCUGUUACUGAAAAUGUAAGUAGAACGAAUUAAUUGUCUGUACCUUGCGGGAAAGGGAGAAGGAGGGCAUAUAUCCUUUCAGACAGAUAAGAAUGUUUGUUUGAUGUUCCAUUAGUGGAGAAAAGUAUAUAUUUUAGACAGAUUGGAAUGUUAGUUUUAUGAGGGGAGUAGAAGACAAUUUCCAGACCCGAAGACACUGCGCUAUUGUGUGGAUCGGAGAGGGUGUGAGAAACUGAUGACGUCAUUUUAUGUUCUCUCCUUAAAAUGUAAUGUUCUUUGUAUUUUGAGUCAGUACUCAUCAAGAAUAAAUGCUGAACUUGUUUUUAAGACUGGUCUCGAUCUAUUUCAUGCAAAAUGAUAAAUUUACAACUUAUUAUGAAAUAGAGAGAGUGAAUUUGGUUUUGGCUACAAAACAUAUAGGAAUUUAGAAUUCCUCUAACAACAGGCAGUUAACAAUGUCUACACUGUAUUUAUUUUCAAUUUGAUGUUAUUUGAAUAGACAAAAAAAUGAUUUUCUUUCAAAAACAAGGACAUUUCUAAGUGACCCCAAACUUUGAACGGUAGUGUAGCUAUGCACCGUAAUGGUGCUCUGGUAUGGAAUGUUUUGUGAUUUGGCUCUAUUUUUUAAAUAUUAAGUAACUGUUAUGUAUUCAGUACAGUUAACAAUUAGGGGCCGGUAUGUUUGAGCCGAUUUGGACAUAUUUCUAUAAAAGACAGAACAUACAGAACUCCAUGUUCAUGUGUGUAAAUAUAUGAAAUAUGAUAAAAUAUCAGGUACCUUUAUGAUUUACAUUGACCUGAUUGAGAUAUAUUCCUUUGUUAUAAGUGUACCUUAGGUUUUAGCUCCUCCUCUUGACCAUUCAUUGUACUGUGGUCAGUGUGUUAGUGACAGGAUAAAGACAGGAAGUUGGGCCUUCGGGGGAGGGGGAGUCCUAGCUAGACACGGGAGUGGUAUAGUCUUUUAACCAGACAACAAACAGGUCAUAUUAUGUAUUUUUCACGUCAAGUAAUCUAUGUUUUAAGUUGAUCGGAGAAUAUGUUUUUUUGUGAGAUAUAAGAAUAAUAAACCUUUUUGUUGCACCAUAUCCCUGGAUCUCAUUGAAUGUUUUGGCCGUUUGGGAACU